ACAACGGCUCUUUUAAGAGCCACACACGUCUCUCAAAGCAUCAUC
Oryzias latipes (Japanese medaka) is the source of this 45-nucleotide non-coding RNA. NCBI's taxonomy places the organism in Eukaryota, Metazoa, Chordata, Actinopteri, Beloniformes, Adrianichthyidae. The record is from Rfam.